CCGCAAACCGACACAGGUGGGUGAGGAGAGUAUCCUAAGGCCAGCGAGAGAACUGUUGUUAAGGAACUCGGCAAAAUGACCCCGUAACUUAGGGAUAAGGGGGGCCACCAUCAGGUGGCCGCAGAGAAUAGGCCCAAGCGACUGUUUACCAAAAACAUAGGUUUCUGCUAAGUCGCAAGACGAUGUAUAGGAGCUGACGCCUGC
This 204-nucleotide ribosomal RNA is filed under the name Clostridioides difficile. RNAcentral describes it as "partial 23S ribosomal RNA". It matches the Rfam family "Bacterial large subunit ribosomal RNA", at positions 1647 to 1862 of the family's 2925-position model. The record is from RNAcentral. Lineage: Bacteria; Bacillati; Bacillota; Clostridia; Peptostreptococcales; Peptostreptococcaceae.